RNAcentral lists this long non-coding RNA (911 nucleotides) under Callithrix jacchus (white-tufted-ear marmoset). RNAcentral describes it as "lncRNA (ENSCJAG00000086153.1)". Lineage: Eukaryota; Metazoa; Chordata; Mammalia; Primates; Cebidae. The record is from RNAcentral.
UUGGUGUCCGUUACGAGCGUCGGCCCGGGCGGCGCCGCUUGCCAGCCAUCCCGGCCCGCCUCCCUUCGGCGCCCACCAGGAAGGGCAGCGGGCGAGGGCCGGCGACCUCGUCUCCCGCCCGGGCUGCGCUGCCGGCGACGGGCAUCCAAGCGCCUGCCCCGGAGCUGGAAGAGAAAGAGCUCCUUUCCCUUUAAAUGUUGUUGGGGGUCGAGGACAAACUCAUAUCCUAUAUUGAAGAAAGCUGGAAAGGGACAAGAGAAAAAUUCAAAAUUUUCUCCCGAUGAGUAAUGCAUCCAGAGCUGGCGCUCGGAUCCUGCGGAACCUUAUCCUGUGGUCCAGUGAAUGGAAUGGUUAGAAUUGAGUUAGAAUACCUGAAAGUCCAGUGCUAAUUCUUCCUGAGAUUUACUCAACAAGUUUCGUCCACUGUCCGCUCUACUCAUACCAUUGAUUGCACUGGCAUUUUGCCACGCGAAAGAGCUUUAAUCAAGGUAUCUGAAAACCUGGAGGUUUCCUUGCUUGUCUAGUCAGUUGAACCCAAGUCGGUACCAUAAGGCUGAUUCUUGAACGACUGAGGUGCCUCUCGGGAGAAAACGCAUCUCUCAGAGGGAGUCUGAUACCAGAAGCUUCACCCUGGAGCGGAAACUCACUCAUUGAAAAGAGAAGAAAUUACGGGAAAGCCUAGUGUGGCGUCUGCAUUAGAAUUUCCCCAGGUUCCCAGGGAAGCUGCAAGAACCAAAAGUGACUUCCUUCCAAGGCAGGAACCAACAGUUGAGCAAUCCCAGUGGACGAAGUAUGCCUUUUGCCAAUACUUUCAGCUAAGAUCUCAGUGUGGACAACAGCCUAGCUUGAGACGUGAGCGCAUAGCUAGAACCAAGGAGUGGAAUCAGCCUCAACCUCACCACACUGACUGA